Molecule: non-coding RNA, 24 nt
Filed under: Arabidopsis thaliana (thale cress)
Lineage: Eukaryota; Viridiplantae; Streptophyta; Magnoliopsida; Brassicales; Brassicaceae
Source: RNAcentral
UCGAAGGUCUUCAAUUUAGGUCAU